This 360-nucleotide long non-coding RNA is filed under the name Homo sapiens (human). RNAcentral describes it as "HSALNT0076973". Lineage: Eukaryota; Metazoa; Chordata; Mammalia; Primates; Hominidae. The record is from RNAcentral.
ACUAUUCCUUGCUGAGAUGGAUGAGGGAAGGAAAAACAUAAUCUUAUUAACUUUUAAAAUUAUAUUUCAUUUAUGACAGCUUUGGCAAUGAAACAACUCAGUGACAACCUGAGAAACACAGAAAUCAGACCUGUGAGAAUUGUGGAAUCUAAUAUAGUUUCACUGCAGGAGAUUUCAAUGUGUAAAUCCUAAAUGCAAGAAAAAGGGCCCUAAAGGUUAACAUUUACAUACUUUUUUUUAAUUUUAAAAAUUCCAGGUUCCCAUCAAAAUUUAUAAAUUCCUGGGCAGCACCAUAGUGUACACAUGGGGACAAAUAAAGUAAAGCCAAAAGAGCAAAAUAAACAUGAAAUAUGUACAACU